CGUAGGUGGCAAGCGUUGUCCGGAUUUAUUGGGUUUAAAGGGUGCGUAGGCGGCCCCGUAAGUCAGUGCUGAAAUAUCCCGGCUUAACCGGGAGGGUGGCAUUGAUACUGCGGGGCUUGAGUACAGAUGAAGCAGGCGGAAUUGACGGUGUAGCGGUGAAAUGCAUAGAUAUCGUCAAGAACACCGAUAGCGAAGGCAGCUUGCUAAGCUGUAACUGACGCUGAGGCACGAAAGUGUGGGAUCAAACAGGAUU
Molecule: ribosomal RNA, 253 nt
Filed under: uncultured bacterium
Lineage: Bacteria
Description: partial 16S ribosomal RNA
Rfam family: Bacterial small subunit ribosomal RNA
Source: RNAcentral